AUUUUGUAUUGCUAUUACAUUAGCAGAUGACAAACAUAAGAAUCUUUUCAAGCACAACGGAAUAAGUAAAAGAUCCCCUUCAUUGAUAUAUUCAUAAUCAAACAUACAUUGUUCGUAGAGUUAGUUUGGUUGUAAGCAGUUAAAACAUACAUAGCAGUUAUAGCAGUUAUAAUACAUAAUGUAAAUGACAUAAUGUAAAAGACACAAGG
RNAcentral lists this long non-coding RNA (209 nucleotides) under Panax ginseng (ginseng). RNAcentral describes it as "long non-coding RNA (PGIN_LNC013889)". The record is from RNAcentral. Lineage: Eukaryota; Viridiplantae; Streptophyta; Magnoliopsida; Apiales; Araliaceae.